UACGUAGGGUGCGAGCGUUAAUCGGAAUUACUGGGCGUAAAGCGUGCGCAGGCGGUUUUGUAAGCCAGAUGUGAAAUCCCCGGGCUUAACCUGGGAAUGGCAUUUGGGACUGCAAGGCUUGAGUGCGGCAGAGGAGACUGGAAUUCCUGGUGUAGCAGUGAAAUGCGUAGAUAUCAGGAAGAACACCGAUGGCGAAGGCAGGUCUCUGGGCUGACACUGACGCUCAUGCACGAAAGCGUGGGGAGCAAACAGG
RNAcentral lists this ribosomal RNA (253 nucleotides) under uncultured bacterium. Its description in RNAcentral is "partial 16S ribosomal RNA". It matches the Rfam family "Bacterial small subunit ribosomal RNA", at positions 524 to 776 of the family's 1533-position model. The record is from RNAcentral.